CAUUAUCGUACAACCGAGGUGCAAGGGCUGUCGCUGACCUCCAAAGGUUGUGCACGCCCGAGCGCUCUCACACAAUCCAUCUCACACCCCUUUGUGCAUCACCGCGAGGGUCCCAGUGGCUGUAACGGCCCCAAGGUGGGAAUGCGAGGCGAUGUUUUCCCCAACGGAGUCCCGUGCUCGUGCGCCGAGUUCAAGACUGUCCCCUCCAGAAAACUUUGGUGUCCAUCGUCCCUCACAGCGUAGGCUGUGGUCGGAUUUGGAGUAAUCGGCCCUUGUCUAGCCAGGGAAGCAAUUCCGCAGCUAGCAGGACUCACCGAGUUGGUCUUAGGAGAUCAGGGCACGUCAUCUGUCGCGCGGGUGCGCCGUGUCCCUCGUAGACCUUUAUACCUCGCGUUUUCACACAAACCUCUGAUACAGUGUAGAAUGUUAUUUUACCUUUUGCGGUCACACGCAAUCAAUACAACUUUCAACAACGGAUCUCUUGGCUCUCGCAUCGAUGAAGAACGCAGCGAAAUGCGAUACGUAAUGUGAAUUGCAGAAUUCAGUGAAUCAUCGAAUCUUUGAACGCACCUUGCGCCCCUUGGUUUUUUUGAAAGCGCGAGCUCCUCUCAAAUGAAUCAGUGGGGUCCGCUUUGCCGAUCCUUGACGUGAUAAGAUGCUUCUACGUUUUGGAUUUGGCACUGUCCCUUGGAUGCCUGCUUCUAACCGUCCCAUGGACAAUGAUGGUGCUCCGGUCAACCGCCGUCUACGUUGGCGGGGGGAGGCUGGACCCACAAGAAG
RNAcentral lists this unclassified non-coding RNA (780 nucleotides) under uncultured Russula. RNAcentral describes it as "sequence contains ITS1, 5.8S rRNA gene and ITS2". The stretch from base 462 to 603 matches the Rfam family "5.8S ribosomal RNA". Lineage: Eukaryota; Fungi; Basidiomycota; Agaricomycetes; Russulales; Russulaceae. The record is from RNAcentral.